This 88-nucleotide non-coding RNA is filed under the name Polytomella parva. Lineage: Eukaryota; Viridiplantae; Chlorophyta; Chlorophyceae; Chlamydomonadales; Chlamydomonadaceae. The record is from RNAcentral.
AAGGGAAAAAAUAAUGAAAGGAAAAAGAAAGAAAAACAGUGUUGUUGUUGUGGGUUGUUUUCAGUUUUUUUCGCGCGGUUUCUUAUUU